Molecule: ribosomal RNA, 600 nt
Filed under: uncultured bacterium
Lineage: Bacteria
Description: bacterial SSU rRNA
Rfam family: Bacterial small subunit ribosomal RNA
Source: RNAcentral
GUACGAUCGCAAGAUUAAAACUCAAAGGAAUUGACGGGGCCCCGCACAAGCAGCGGAGCAUGCGGGCUUAAUUCGACGCAACGCGAAGAACCUUACCAAGGCUUGACAUAUACAGGAAUAUGGCAGAGAUGUCAUAGCCGCAAGGUCUGUAUACAGGUGGUGCAUGGUUGUCGUCAGCUCGUGUCGUGAGAUGUUGGGUUAAGUCCCGCAACGAGCGCAACCCUCGUUCUGUGUUGCCAGCAUUCAGUUGGGGACUCACAGGAAACUGCCGGGGUUAACUCGGAGGAAGGUGGGGAUGACGUCAAAUCAUCAUGCCCCUUAUGUCUUGGGCUGCACGCAUGCUACAAUGGCUGGUACAAACGGCUGCGAUACCGCAAGGUGGAGCGAAUCCGAUAAAGCCAGUCUCAGUUCGGAUUGGGGUCUGCAACUCGACCCCAUGAAGUCGGAGUUGCUAGUAAUCGUAGAUCAGCAACGCUACGGUGAAUACGUUCCCGGGGCUUGUACACACCGCCCGUCACAUCACGAAAGUCGGUAACACCCAAAGUCAGUGGCCCAACCGCAAGGAGGGAGCUGCCAAAGGUGGGAUCGGUGAUUGGGAUG